This is a long non-coding RNA of Cavia porcellus (domestic guinea pig), 674 nucleotides long. RefSeq lists it as uncharacterized. The record is from RefSeq and is a predicted model, not a curated record. Lineage: Eukaryota; Metazoa; Chordata; Mammalia; Rodentia; Caviidae. The transcript has 3 exons.
GGGUAGAUGAGGGAGGAAGGUCCUGACUUACAGGCAGUGCGACUCAGUGAAGACACCGCUCGAUGUGCUGAGCCACCAGGCCUCUAGGGUCUGCUUCUGCUAUCCUGUCAGCCCAGCUUGUCCUAAUGGGCCCACAGCUCUCCAAGGAUGUCUAUCUACUCCUGUCGUGCCUUACCACUGCACUUCAAGUUCUUGAACCCAAUCUUGCUUCUCAACAGCCUUCUAGGGGGACUGGGACGGCCUAGAGCAGCGUGAGGCACUGGAGUGUGUUAGCCUGAUGGCAGAAACGCUGAAUACCGCACUUUCAGAGCCCUCAGUGAUGCUGGAGGAAGCUGAGGCUUCCUUGAGGUCUGGAAGUAUCCAGACAGACUGGUAGGUGGGAGAAGCAGAAAUCUGGGUCUGAGUCUUCUGAUUUGAGAUCUUGUAUUUUUUUUUUUUUUCUGUUUUUCCAUUUGACCUCCUAUGAAAAAAUUCUAAGUUUCAGUACUAGAACCUUUGCAAGUGGAGACCAAGGGGCUGGAAAAGAAAGAGUGAUUCAUUAGACUCGGUUUUAAUUUUGAGUCUGUAACUGACUUCACUGAAAACACAUUCUAGAGAAUUAGUUACUCCUUAAUAUGACAAGUGAAUCAAAUGUGCAGAAUUGUGGAAUAAAGGCUGUUGCUUCUCUGUAGUAA